This 77-nucleotide transfer RNA is filed under the name Candidatus Peribacteria bacterium. Its description in RNAcentral is "tRNA-His". It matches the Rfam family "tRNA". From Rfam's summary of the family: Transfer RNA (tRNA) molecules are approximately 80 nucleotides in length. Their secondary structure includes four short double-helical elements and three loops (D, anti-codon, and T loops). The record is from RNAcentral. Lineage: Bacteria; Candidatus Peregrinibacteriota; Candidatus Peribacteria.
GAGACUGUAGCUCAGUUGGUUAGAGCAUCUGAUUGUGGUCCAGAGGGUCACGGGUUCGAUUCCCGUCAGUCUCCCCA